Molecule: long non-coding RNA, 1685 nt
Organism: Oncorhynchus masou masou (cherry salmon)
Lineage: Eukaryota; Metazoa; Chordata; Actinopteri; Salmoniformes; Salmonidae
Exons: 2
Source: RefSeq, a predicted model, not a curated record
GCACUUCCGGCAUGGUGCACUGCGACAAUGCUGUUGAGCAAAGAGACCAAAAUCAUGCAACAACGACUGUGAGACACUAACUUUGACUGCCAUUGCUGUGGCAGAGGGAAAACAGUGCACUCAUCUUCUCAUCGAGUCUCAUCGAGUCUCAUCGAGUCUCAUCGUCAGUGGUGUAGUGGUGCUUGGAGAAAGUGGGUAUACUCUAAUUUUUCCUAACAUUUUCCUAUAGUUGUUUAAUGUUUUCACUCUCAAAAUGACACUUUUUAAUAGAAAAACUUCAGAAAUGUGAAGUUUGAAGUCUAUAACCGGCUACUGAUGUCUUUCAAUUCUAUGAGCUGCUCCAUGCGUCAACAACAAGUUGAGAGCUAUGUGCUCUUGCUGCCUGAUAUUCUGCUAAAACUAGCUAUGUGUGCAGUGUGAAUGUGAAUAGCCUAUAUUCACAUACUUUGCGAUUGUGUAGGCUACUUUGUGCAUGAUUUCACAAUUGUACUACAUAAUUGAUAUGGUGUUUACCUUCACUAUACUACUUUGAUACACAUUAGUGCGGAUUAAGAAGUAAUAUGCAAUUCCCACUGAAAAGAAAGUGGGUAUACAUCGUAUAGCCCCCACUACACCAAUGUUCAUCGUAAAUCUGUCUCUCUAUCUCUCUGUCUUUCCCCACCUAAGGACAUCGUGUCCCAGCGUGGGCUGCAGAUAAUGUUGCGACUGAUGUGCCCUGAUUAGUUGUGUGUGUACAUGUGUGUGUAUACGCUUGUGUGAGUAUAUGUGUGUGUGUCUGGCCACCUUUCCCGCUCCUGAUCCCCUUAAUCCUCUCAGCCACCAUGGCUCAAACAGCCCUGCAUUCCCGCGGCAACACCAUUUCCCUGAGUUUCCCGUCUGGAUUGAACCCAAACCACCCCCCCACCACCCCGGCCCCCACCUCCCCUCGCUCCCUCGCUCCCUCCCUCCACCCCAUCACAUCACACACUGAUGCAGAGAUGUCAGCGGGUUCACUGCGAUGCAGGAGGGCGAUCCCAUCCCAGGAAAUCUUCAUGGAAAGUUUCGAAGAGCCUUAGAGGGAGUGGCCUACUCUUGCCCAGGCCCCUCGGGGCAGUGAUCCCCCCAAUUUGUGCUGCUGUUAUAAAGAAUGCACCUCUAAACCACUUUCCCACCACUAAGAGGAUUACCAAGGUAAUGCUUCAUAUCAAAAAGAUGCUACGGCCGAUCUAGCCGCUGGGAGGCUGAAUUUAAUUAUAAAUAUAGAAGAUUGGUAUCAGACUUUUCGAACUGGACAUGGACGCCACUGUCCUGUACUGUGAUGAAAACCUAAUGUAUGUCCACGUGACGGUCAAGACCAUGUUGUAGUAAUCACUGUAAAAGCACUUUAGCCUGCAUAAGUAUACCUUUUCAAAUCACCCUAGUUUAGGUCACAUGCUGGGAGAGAUAAGAUGGGUGGAAGCAAAUGACAGUUAUUAGCAUAGAAAUGGAACAGGAUGGAAAUGAAUAUUGAAUAUAGGAUGCUUAGCCCUGGAGUCAAUAGUCAAAAAGUCUAAAUGUGUUCUAUAACGUCCAUGACCUAAUGUACAGACCUUAACAUUAUCAAUAUACGACACAUUGUUUUUAAAACUCUUUACUGUAUUGCUGUUAAGUAUCGACAACCAGUUGAUGGUCCAUUCUGUAAAAUAAAACUUUUCCACUGCGUCAAA